UACAAUUAAGAGUCUGCUUUGGCAAAAGCAUAGAGUUCAGGCUGGGGUUGAGCACUUACUCUCACACUCAAUAGUUACGUGAACUUGGGGCAGACUUUUAACUCUGUGACCAACAAAGAAAAUAUAGUUAAAUUAUAACACGCUGAGUGGGAACCUAGAGUGGUUAAGAAUUCUGGAGUUCCCUCCCUCAUCUUACUUGUUGGAGUGAAUUGUCAAAAGUCUUAGGUGCAAAAAUAGCACCUUUCUAAUAGGACUUGUUUGAUUGAAUGAGAUAGAGCUUGUGUCUAGCAUGUGAUAGGUAUGCAGGAACUGAGCACUGGAGAUCCCAGCCUGGUGUAACAGAAGCUAU
Pipistrellus kuhlii (Kuhl's pipistrelle) is the source of this 349-nucleotide long non-coding RNA. RefSeq lists it as uncharacterized. The transcript is spliced from 2 exons. NCBI's taxonomy places the organism in Eukaryota, Metazoa, Chordata, Mammalia, Chiroptera, Vespertilionidae. The record is from RefSeq and is a predicted model, not a curated record.